AUGGAGUUGACCCCGUGCGAGAAGUUCUUGCUAUCCGAUUCGUCCGAUUCGGACGACUCGGAUGUGGAGACCAUGCUUGCGAACUUUCGGCAGCAAACAUUGGUCAUGGCGCUUGCCGUGAAGGAGCAUGAAGACGAGUACCGAAAGAGGGGGCGAGGAUCUACUGUCGGGCGUCUGUGCAUUCCGCGGAAUCGCCAUCUUGGAAACGAGAUGUUGAUGCAAGAUUAUUUUUCGGAGAAUCCUACAUAUCCUGCACACCUCUUCCACAGAAGGUACCGAAUGCGCCGAUCCCUUUUUGUGAAAAUUGUUGAAGCUUGCGAGGCAAAUUGCCGGUAUUUCACUCAGAGAAGGAAUGCCGCGGGCUUAAAGGGAUUUAGUGCAUAUCAAAAAAUCUCCGCAGCUAUGCGGGUGAUUGCAUAUUGCGUUCCGGCUGACUAUGCCGAUGAGUAUCUUCGCAUUGGUGAAGAUAGCACAAUUGAGUCUGUGCGUAGAUUUGCGAAAGUGAUCGUCCGUGUCUUUGGUCCCGAGUAUCUUCGGGCACCAAAUGAAGAUGACACAAAGAAAUUGAUGGCAGCUAAUGAGAGGAGAGGUUGGCCUUGGAUGCUAGGUAGCAUUGAUUGUAUGCAUUGGAAUUGGAAAAAUUGCCCCAAGGCUUGGCAAGGAAUGUAUUGUGGCAAGUCUCGUGAUGCAACAAUUGUGCUAGAGGCCGUAGCAUCCGAGGAUUUAUGGAUUUGGCAUUGCUUUUUUGGUAUGCCCGGCACACUCAAUGAUAUCAAUGUGUUGCAACGCUCUCAUUUGUUUGCUAGGCUUGCUAGUGGUGAUGCUCCUGCUUGCAACUACACUAUCAAUGGGCAUGAAUACACAAAGGGGUACUAUCUAGCAGAUGGUAUAUAUCCUCCUUGGUGCACAUUUGUCAAGAGCAUCAAAGAACCCAAAACAAAAAAACAAUGUGAAUUUGCAAGGGUGCAAGAGGCAGCCCGAAAAGACAUUGAAAGAGCAUUCGGUGUUUUGCAAUCUAGGUUUGCCAUUGUCCGAGGUCCUGCUCGUUUUUGGGAUAAGAAAACCCUGAAGAACAUCAUGACUUGCUGUGUUAUCCUGCACAAUAUGAUUCUUGAAGAUGAGAGAGGAAUGGACUUAGAAUUCUUUUACGAUAAUGUGGGUAGCCGUGUCAAACUAGCUAGAGACCCAAACCGCAUUAGAGCUUUUCUUCAGACAUACAAGGAGAUUGAAAAUGCAGACACACACUUUCAACUUCAGGAAGAUCUCAUUGAGCACCAUUGGCAAAGGGCUGGACAGUGA
This 1299-nucleotide ribosomal RNA is filed under the name Triticum aestivum (bread wheat). Its description in RNAcentral is "partial small subunit ribosomal RNA". Lineage: Eukaryota; Viridiplantae; Streptophyta; Magnoliopsida; Poales; Poaceae. The record is from RNAcentral.